UACGGGGGGGGCAAGCGUUGUUCGGAAUUACUGGGCGUAAAGGGCGCGUAGGCGGGUGUGCAAGUCUGUGGUGAAAGCCUCCAGCUUAACUGGAGAAGUGCCAUGGAUACUGCACAUCUUGAGGAGGGUAGGGGCAUCUGGAACGGUCGGUGGAGCGGUGAAAUGCGUUGAUAUCGACCGGAACUCCGGUGGCGAAGGCGAGGUGCUGGACCCUUUCUGACGCUGAGGCGCGAAAGCCAGGGGAGCAAACGGG
This 253-nucleotide ribosomal RNA is filed under the name uncultured bacterium. Its description in RNAcentral is "partial 16S ribosomal RNA". It matches the Rfam family "Bacterial small subunit ribosomal RNA", at positions 524 to 776 of the family's 1533-position model. The record is from RNAcentral.